CCUACGGGUGGCUGCAGUAGGGAAUAUUGCGCAAUGGACGAAAGUCUGACGCAGCGACGCCGCGUGGGUGAUGAAGGAUUUCGGUUCGUAAAGCCCUGUCGGAGGGGACGAAAAACGUUGUGGCUAACAUCCACGACGACUGACGGUACCCUCAAAGGAAGCACCGGCUAACUACGUGCCAGCAGCCGCGGUAAUACGUAGGGUGCAAGCGUUGUUCGGAAUUAUUGGGCGUAAAGCGCGUGUAGGCGGCUUGUUAAGUCAGAUGUGAAAUCCCU
This 275-nucleotide ribosomal RNA is filed under the name uncultured bacterium. RNAcentral's name for it is "partial 16S ribosomal RNA". It matches the Rfam family "Bacterial small subunit ribosomal RNA", at positions 338 to 604 of the family's 1533-position model. The record is from RNAcentral.